CAAACAACCCCAGUUCCCUCAGCUGCUCCUUACAGGACUUGUGCUCCAGAAAAACAGACUGCUCGUAGGACACCCAUCCCACCAGCAGUACCCCACAGGGAUGUGACAGGCCGACCCCUGUGCACUCAGCCUGGAAAUCUAGGCUGAGGCAGCUGCACCAGGGAGCCAUUUGCUUCAAUUCCCUUCCUGUCUAAAUACCUUGCAGACCUUGUGUUGGUGUAUAUCAUACCAGCCUGUAAUGGUAUCAAGACCUCCACGUGGUUCCUGUGUGUGAUCAAUGGCCUGGACUAUUCCUAUAAAGGCUGCUCUUACUUCAUGGUAUUCUGGACCUGUGUUGCUAAGGAGAUGGAAAGGAUUUGGAAGGAAGAGUCUUUCAAGACCCCAUCAGCAGCCCCACAGCAACACACCAAGUGACAGGGUACAUCUGGAAUAGGAUCCAGCUACUGGAUUGGCAUGAGAGCAGGAAGGGAAGAAUAUGACAGAGGAGCUGGGAAGCAUAACGGGAUCGUUUUAUAAGGUGGAACUGUUCUGAGGAGCACUGCUCUAAGAGAAGGAGCCAAAGAGAGGAGUUUGUGACCUAAUCAUGAUGAACAUCUAAUUACUGCAGCAAACUAUGGUCUGUGGGCAUACUGCUUGCUGAGGUGUGUGAAAAGCCAUCAUCCAAGGAAACUAUAAAAGUUAGAAGGAGAAAAUGACAAAAGGAGUACUGAACAUGUAGCCAGAGAAGGAGGAAAGACAGAGGGAGAGACUCAAUAAAAAA
Molecule: long non-coding RNA, 760 nt
Filed under: Anser brachyrhynchus (Pink-footed goose)
Lineage: Eukaryota; Metazoa; Chordata; Aves; Anseriformes; Anatidae
Description: lncRNA (ENSABRG00000014538.1)
Source: RNAcentral